CAAUAGCGUAUAUUAAAGUUGUUGCGGUUAAAAAGCUCGUAGUUGGAUUUCUGUUGGGAACGACCGGUCCGCCCAUUGGGUGUGUAUCUGGCUUGUUCUCGGCAUCUUCUUGGUGAACGUUGCUGCACUUGACUGUGUGGAGCGCUACCCAGGACUUUUACUUUGAGGAAAUUAGAGUGUUUCAAGCAGGCAUAUGCCUUGAAUACAUUAGCAUGGAAUAAUAAGAUAGGACCUCGGUUCUAUUUUGUUGGUUUCUAGAGCUGAGGUAAUGAUUAAUAGGGAUAGUUGGGGGCAUUCGUAUUUAACUGUCAGAGGUGAAAUUCUUGGAUUUGUUAAGGACGGACUACUGCGAAAGCAUUUGCCAAGGAUGUUUNCAUUG
Molecule: ribosomal RNA, 379 nt
Filed under: uncultured eukaryote
Lineage: Eukaryota
Description: partial 18S ribosomal RNA
Rfam family: Eukaryotic small subunit ribosomal RNA
Source: RNAcentral